This 465-nucleotide ribosomal RNA is filed under the name Vreelandella stevensii. RNAcentral describes it as "partial 16S ribosomal RNA". It matches the Rfam family "Bacterial small subunit ribosomal RNA", at positions 338 to 795 of the family's 1533-position model. Lineage: Bacteria; Pseudomonadati; Pseudomonadota; Gammaproteobacteria; Oceanospirillales; Halomonadaceae. The record is from RNAcentral.
CCUACGGGUGGCAGCAGUGGGGAAUAUUGGACAAUGGGGGGAACCCUGAUCCAGCCAUGCCGCGUGUGUGAAGAAGGCCCUCGGGUUGUAAAGCACUUUCAGUGAGGAAGAACGCCUGGUGGUUAAUACCCAUCAGGAAAGACAUCACUCACAGAAGAAGCACCGGCUAACUCCGUGCCAGCAGCCGCGGUAAUACGGAGGGUGCGAGCGUUAAUCGGAAUUACUGGGCGUAAAGCGCGCGUAGGUGGCUUGAUAAGCCAGUUGUGAAAGCCCCGGGCUCAACCUGGGAACGGCAUCCGGAACUGUCAAGCUAGAGUGCAGGAGAGGAAGGUAGAACUCACGGUGUAGCGGUGAAAUGCGUAGAGAUCGGGAGGAAUACCAGUGGCGAAGGCGGCCUUUUGGACUGACACUGACACUGAGGUGCGAAAGCGUGGGUAGCAAACAGGAUUAGAUACCCCUGUAGUC